RNAcentral lists this ribosomal RNA (402 nucleotides) under uncultured bacterium. RNAcentral's name for it is "bacterial SSU rRNA". It matches the Rfam family "Bacterial small subunit ribosomal RNA", at positions 355 to 774 of the family's 1533-position model. The record is from RNAcentral.
UGGGGAAUAUUGCACAAUGGGCGAAAGCCUGAUGCAGCAACGCCGCGUGAGUGAUGAAGGCCUUCGGGUUGUAAAGCUCUGUCUUCUGGGACGAUAAUGACGGUACCAGAGGAGGAAGCCACGGCUAACUACGUGCCAGCAGCCGCGGUAAUACGUAGGUGGCAAGCGUUGUCCGGAUUUACUGGGCGUAAAGGAUGCGUAGGCGGAUACUUAAGUCAGAUGUGAAAAUCCCGGGCUUAACUUGGGAACUGCAUUUGAAACUGGGCAUCUAGAGUGCGGGAGAGGAAAGUGGAAUUCCUAGUGUAGCGGUGAAAUGCGUAGAGAUUAGGAAGAACACCAGUGGCGAAGGCGACUUUCUGGACCGUAACUGACGCUGAGGCAUGAAAGCGUGGGGAGCAAACA